AAUGGGAGAAAUCCUGAUCCAGCAAUCCCGCGUGAGUGAUGAAGGCCUUCGGGUCGUAAAGCUCUUUUAAUGGGGAAGAAGGGAAACUUGACGGUACCCAUAGAAAAAGCACCGGCUAACUCUGUGCCAGCAGCCGCGGUAAUACAGAGGGUGCAAGCGUUGUUCGGAAUUAUUGGGCGUAAAGCGCGUGUAGGUGGCUUACUAAGUCUGGUGUGAAAGCCCGGGGCUCAACCCCGGAAGUGCACUGGAUACUGGAAAGCUAGAGGGCGAGAGAGGAGAUUGGAAUUCAUGGUGUAGGGGUGAAAUCCGUAGAUAUCAUGAGGAACAUCUGUGGCGAAGGCGAAUCUCUGGCUCGUUUCUGACACUGAGACGCGAAAGCGUGGGGAGCAAA
Molecule: ribosomal RNA, 391 nt
Filed under: uncultured bacterium
Lineage: Bacteria
Description: bacterial SSU rRNA
Rfam family: Bacterial small subunit ribosomal RNA
Source: RNAcentral